CCUACGGGUGGCAGCAGUGAGGAAUCUUGGUCAAUGGACGAGAGUCUGAACCAGCCAAGUAGCGUGAAGGAUGACUGCCCUAUGGGUUGCAAACUUAUUUGAUAUGGGAAUAAAAUGUUACACGUGUGGGAUUUUGUAUGUACCAUAUGAAUAAGGAUCGUCUAACUCCGUGCCAGUAGCCGCGGUAAUACUGAGGAUCAGAGCGUUAUCCGGAUUUAUUGGGCUGAAAGGGAGAGUAGGUGGAUUGUUAAGUCAGUUGUGAAAGUUUGCGGCUCAACCGUAAGAUUGCAGUUGAAACUGGCAGUCUUGAGUACAGUAGAGGUGAGCGGAAUUCGUGGUGUAGCGGUGACAUGCUUAGAUAUCACGAAGAACUCCGAUUGCGAAGGCAGCUCACUGGACUGCAACUGACACUGAGGCUCGAAAGUGUGGGUAUCAAACAGGAUUAGAUACCCGGGUAGUC
This 460-nucleotide ribosomal RNA is filed under the name uncultured bacterium. RNAcentral's name for it is "partial 16S ribosomal RNA". It matches the Rfam family "Bacterial small subunit ribosomal RNA", at positions 338 to 795 of the family's 1533-position model. The record is from RNAcentral.